Molecule: long non-coding RNA, 357 nt
Organism: Mus caroli (Ryukyu mouse)
Lineage: Eukaryota; Metazoa; Chordata; Mammalia; Rodentia; Muridae
Source: RefSeq, a predicted model, not a curated record
AACAAGACAGCUCCAUUUUCCAGUCUGGUUUCAGUGAUGGCAGUCUUCUCUUCCUGUUUGUUGAGUCUCCUGUUUCACUGCAGAUCCGAUCUGCUUUGACCACAGCACUUUGAGAAAAUGAUGUGGAGCAGAAGCAAGGCCCAGCUCAUGGAUGCUGGCAUCAGAGGAAAGGUUGGGUCUGGCCAACUGUUGAGGCUCUGAAGGCAUCUUUCUGAUUGUUCCGGUGCAAAGUAUUUGGCUUCUUUUCAAUGACAUUGAAUCUCCUGGACAAGCAAACCCUCGUUGUCUGCAACAUUAAAUGCACCCCCCUCUGGAUGGACUGAGGGGUUUCCCAGCCUUUCCACUCUGCUUUCUGAU